GACGAACGCUGGCGGCGUGCUUAACACAUGCAAGUCGAACGGAAAGGCCCUGCUUUUGUGGGGUGCUCGAGUGGCGAACGGGUGAGUAACACGUGAGUAACCUGCCCUUGACUUUGGGAUAACUUCAGGAAACUGGGGCUAAUACCGGAUAGGAGCUCCUGCUGCAUGGUGGGGGUUGGAAAGUUUCGGCGGUUGGGGAUGGACUCGCGGCUUAUCAGCUUGUUGGUGGGGUAGUGGCUUACCAAGGCUUUGACGGGUAGCAGGCCUGAGAGGGUGACCGGCCACAUUGGGACUGAGAUACGGCCCAGACUCCUACGGGAGGCAGGAGUGGGGAAUAUUGCACAAUGGGCGGAAGCCUGAUGCAGCACCGCCGCGUGCGGGAUGACGGCCUUCGGGUUGUAAACCGCUUUCGCCUGUGACGAAGCGUGAGUGACGGUAAUGGGUAAAGAAGCACCGGCUAACUACGUG
RNAcentral lists this ribosomal RNA (468 nucleotides) under uncultured bacterium. RNAcentral's name for it is "partial 16S ribosomal RNA". It matches the Rfam family "Bacterial small subunit ribosomal RNA", at positions 28 to 507 of the family's 1533-position model. The record is from RNAcentral.